GACGAACGCUGGCGGCGUGCUUAACACAUGCAAGUCGAACGGAAAGGCCCUGCUUUUGUGGGGUGCUCGAGUGGCGAACGGGUGAGUAACGCGUGAGUAACCUGCCCUUGACUUUGGGAUAACUUCAGGAAACUGGGGCUAAUACCGGAUAGGAGCUCCUGCUGCAUGGUGGGGGUUGGAAAGUUUCGGCGGUUGGGGAUGGACUCGCGGCUUAUCAGCUUGUUGGUUGGGUAGUGGCUUACCAAGGCUUUGACGGGUAGCCGGCCUGGGAGGGUGACCGGCCACAUUGGGACUGAGAUACGGCCCAGACUCCUACGGGAGGCAGCAGGGGGGAAUAUUGCACAAUGGGCGGAAGCCUGAUGCAGCAACGCCGCGUGCGGGAUGACGGCCUUCGGGUUGUAAACCGCUUUCGCCUGUGACGAAGCGUGAGUGACGGUAAUGGGUAAAGAAGCACCGGCUAACUACGUG
This 468-nucleotide ribosomal RNA is filed under the name uncultured bacterium. RNAcentral's name for it is "partial 16S ribosomal RNA". It matches the Rfam family "Bacterial small subunit ribosomal RNA", at positions 28 to 507 of the family's 1533-position model. The record is from RNAcentral.